This 312-nucleotide ribosomal RNA is filed under the name uncultured fungus. Its description in RNAcentral is "partial large subunit ribosomal RNA". It matches the Rfam family "Eukaryotic large subunit ribosomal RNA", at positions 40 to 350 of the family's 3401-position model. Lineage: Eukaryota; Fungi. The record is from RNAcentral.
AUAUCAGUAAGCGGAGGAAAAGAAACUAACAAGGAUUCCCGUAGUAACGGCGAGUGAACUGGGAUCAGCUCAAAUUUAAAAUCUGGCCUUCGGGUCCGAAUUGUAGUCUAAAGAGGUGCUAUCAUGCAGACGACGUGCGUACAAGUGUCCUGGAAUGGACCAUCACAGAGGGUGAGAAUCCCGUUUGGAUGCACGACGUCUGUGUAUACGAGGCACUCUCUAAGAGUCGAGUUGUUUGGGAAUGCAGCUCAAAAUGGGUGGUAAACUUCAUCCAAGGCUAAAUAUUGGCAAGAGACCGAUAGCGCACAAGUA